UGGCCAUUAUGACAAAAGUGUGUCAGAAGUGAUAUCUGAUAUUCUUCCUCAGUCA
RNAcentral lists this small nucleolar RNA (55 nucleotides) under Mytilus galloprovincialis (Mediterranean mussel). The record is from RNAcentral. Lineage: Eukaryota; Metazoa; Mollusca; Bivalvia; Mytilida; Mytilidae.